AACCCUUGUGGAGGAGGACGCCGAAGGUGGGGCUAAUGACUGGGGUGAAGUCGUAACAAGGUAGCCGUACCGGAAGGUGCGGCUGGAUCACCUCCUAACAGGGAGACAACAAAAUGUUAAAUAUUAAUUUUGUCACCUUAGGUCGAUCGGUAUCUCACAUUCUUAAUUUAUUAAGGAUUUUAUUUCCUAAGUUUUUUCUAGGUCACACCCAUUACUUUUCCUGGGCCAUUAGCUCAGGUGGUUAGAGCGCACCCCUGAUAAGGGUGAGGUCCCUGGUUCAAGUCCAGGAUGGCCCAUAUCUCUAUGUUGGGGGUAUAGCUCAGUUGGUAGAGCGCCUGCUUUGCAAGCAGGAUGUCAGCGGUUCGAGUCCGCUUACCUCCACUGAUUACCACCUCUUCCAUAAUUUUAUAACGGAAAUGUUUUGAGUUGUGAUCAAAUUCUGAACGAAUCUAGCUUCCUAAUUUUCUAAAUUAAGAUGCUGGACUCAUUGAAUUAAUUUCUUUGUUUUCAGAGAACCUUGACAACUGCAUAGAUUAUUUUUAAAGACAAUAAGCAUCUUUAAUGAUGCAGAUUUAUUAUUUAUGUGAAUGCAUUAAUAACAAUUCUAUUAAGCUGAUGCUUCAAUUUUUGAAGUUAUUGGUCAAGCUACAAAGGGCUCACGGAGGAUACCUAGGCACACAGAGGC
Molecule: unclassified non-coding RNA, 685 nt
Filed under: uncultured Prochlorococcus sp.
Lineage: Bacteria; Bacillati; Cyanobacteriota; Cyanophyceae; Synechococcales; Prochlorococcaceae
Description: partial may contain 16S ribosomal RNA, 16S-23S ribosomal RNA intergenic spacer, and 23S ribosomal RNA
Rfam family: Bacterial small subunit ribosomal RNA (bases 1-98)
Source: RNAcentral